UGCAGUCGAGCGGCAGCACGACUUCGAUCUUUCUGACGGUGGCGAGUGGUGUAUGUGCAUGAAUGUGUCCCACUCAGCGGGGGAUAGCUACACGAAAGCGUAGCUCAUACCCCAAACCCCCUACCGGGGAAAGCAGGGGAUCGCGAGACCUUGCACUAUUAGAGCGGCCGAUGUCGGAUUAGUCUAGUUGGUGGGGUAACGGCUCACCAAGGCGACGAUGCGUAGCUGGUUUGAGAGGACGACCAGCCACACUGGGACUGAGACACGGCCCACACUCCUACCGGAGGCAGCAGUGGGGAAUUUUGGACAAUGGGGGAAAGCCUGAUCCAGCCAUCCCGCGUGUGCGAUGAAGGCCUUCGGGUUGUAAAGCACUUUUGCUCUUUAAUAAGCUUCCUGCUUUAAUACCUCGUUACUCA
This 416-nucleotide ribosomal RNA is filed under the name uncultured Achromobacter sp. RNAcentral describes it as "bacterial SSU rRNA". It matches the Rfam family "Bacterial small subunit ribosomal RNA", at positions 56 to 472 of the family's 1533-position model. The record is from RNAcentral. Lineage: Bacteria; Pseudomonadati; Pseudomonadota; Betaproteobacteria; Burkholderiales; Alcaligenaceae.